Aquila chrysaetos chrysaetos is the source of this 5300-nucleotide long non-coding RNA. RefSeq lists it as uncharacterized. The transcript has 8 exons. Lineage: Eukaryota; Metazoa; Chordata; Aves; Accipitriformes; Accipitridae. The record is from RefSeq and is a predicted model, not a curated record.
UGGUGCGCCCACAGCUGCGCAGAGAGCCCUGGGACCCCUGGCUCUAUUACUUUUUAUUGUUCCGCGUCUGUAGGUUGGUGUCUGACUCGUCCUGCGUGGUCCAGUGGGUAAUGGCACGUGCUCUGAGAAAGGCUGGCGUAGCUCUUAGUCAGUCCCACUAUUCCUUAAUGCCGCUUUUAAUCUUUAAAGCACCGUAUAAACAUCCGUGCCUGCAAUACACUAAUCCCUGUCUGAUAAAGGGACAAACCAGGAUACGGAUGUUCAGCACCAUCUUCUUGCGGCCAUCGUAAAGGAGCACAUCAGAGAUAAAGCUAGCAAGUGGGGUAUCUUGGCUGAGACCUAAGCUCAGACCACUCUGCUUUUUGUAUCGCAGUGGACAGGAGAUUUUAUUUUCAGAAAGGUGCUUCUGUUAUGUUUCUUCCUUUUAUUUUAAAGCAACACCGCUUGAAUUUUGGCAAAGAGUUUGCUUUGCAGGUGACACGUUUCCUUGCACCGGGCAGGAGCAGAGUGGGAUGUACCUGGGGCUGGAUGACUAAAUCUGUCCUCCUGCUUCUGAUGCACCCAGCGCUCCGUGUAACGCAAUGUGGAGACUGGCUUGCCCUUUUCAUUGAUACCAUUAACGCAGAGUAAGCAGCAAUGAUGCUUAGGCCAGGCCAGGUAUGUAACAUUUUUGUCUUUAAGCGAGUAGAGACACCUGUGACUGCAUUUUGUGUAUAGUUUAUUCAUAGUUAGCCUAAAUAGGAGGGAAAAAAGACAAUUGUAUAGCUGCAAACUACAGCGAAGUAAUGGGUGUCAUGAUUUUGAAGGAGCCAUCUUUGUUCUGACCCAAAACUAGGCACGUAAGGUCAGCAAACAUGUACACAACCACACAAAUACACACACACAGACGUUUAUAAAAUGUGCAGUUAGCACACUGAAUGUGUGUAAUCACGUGGUAAAAGAUGAACCCCAGGAGUUUGUGAGCUUGUUUUCUCUUCAGAGACAGCUUAGCUUUUCCUAGCACAUGUAAUAUCAGAGAUGUUCAAACAGUGGGUUUUACACUGGUGUGAAUUCUGCUGAUUUACACAAGAAACAUUGCACUGCUGUGGCUGCAGAUGCAGUCCCCAAAUCUGUCAGGCCUCUUUACUGCAGUUGUUUGUAUUGGUUGUGUUUCAGCGCUAACUUAGGUUAGACAUGCUGCAGCGUUAAUCUAGGAAAACGUGGAGGAGCUCCCGAAUUCACCUCAGUCCUGGUUCAAAUGUGUCAGGACUUGGGUGAUAAAAGGCUGGCGGCUGCUGAACAGCAAUGAUUCCUCACAAGCCUCAGAUCUGCAUGUUUUUGAGCAAAGAAGCCUCAGGCACAGGGUGAGGACUUCUGGGUGCACUCCAGCAGCGGGCUAGCAAAUCUUGGCCAAGAAUGGCCAGAGAGAGCUGGCCAUGGCUUAACAUCCUAUUUGUGUUUUGACUUGGUGGGUGCUGAUGGCAAGGUAUUUUACACGUUGCUAGCUCUUGCUCUGCAGCAUGUCUUCUUGUGUUUUCUUUGAAAAGCUGCAGGUCAAAUGAGUUGACAAAUGCUGGAGCUGUUUGUGCUGGGCAUUAAAAAUGUAUGUGCCAUAAAUAUCAGGGCAUUACUAGAGCUGCUGUUCUGGAGGAGGAAGUCACUGCAGGCUAUCUGCUCUAGCCCACAGGGAUAAUCUGACAUUUCUGCGCCACUUUAAACAAGUUCCGUCACAUCAGGUGAAGCGAUUCAUGAUAACCUCAUGCAUUUUAAUGGAAAUGUCAACUGCAAUCUAGUAAAAGAAAACGUUACUUAGAUACCUUGUCUAACACCUCAUUGCUUGCCCAUGCAUGGUGGUUCCUGAAGGAGAUUUCAGUAAACCCAUCAACUUAUCCGUAUCGUUCUUUCCAGGUUAAACCCAUCCUCCUGUCUGCUGAUAGGGAGGUGUACGGGCACUGAUUUCUCCUCAAUGGAGGGUAGGAGUUUAACCUUUGCUAGAGCAGGGAGCUCUGUCCUGCCAGAGGCUGGUGCUCCCACAUGCGAUAUAAAUUACAGUUUAGCCAAGGAGCAGCAUAGUUUUAGCAGAGAUAAUGGGAUCCGUGCCUUGCUGCAUGUGUUUUCCUGCAGGUCCGUGCAUAAAGCAGUAUAAUGCAGCAUAUAAUAACAGGUUUUAAUUCUUUGUAGGUCAUGUAUGAUCACUAAUUUAGCUGUGGUGACAGUGGCAAAGGCAACUGUGGGAGACAGUCUUGUAGCCUCGGCUACCUGCCAUGUGUUUUGGAGGCCCAGGUAAGUGGCAAAUCCUCAUGAGAUGGCGGAGUCUGCCACAUAAUACCUCACACACUUCUGUUUGAGCUAUCAGGUGCAUUUGAAAGGUCUCCGGCUCCCAGAAGAACACCCACAAAGAGAUAAUGCAACUCCGGAAAGUUUUAAGGACUCUACAGGCAAGUGUGCUGCCAUCCGUGUUCCUGGGCUUGAGUCAGUAGGUCACCCAGGCUCUCCAUGGAUAAUAUAAUCAGAGCACGGGAUAAAGACAUGGUGAGCAUGGACAAGGUCCAUUGGAAAUGCUUGAGUAGUUUCUUUCAUAAAUGGUAUAACAUCUGUUGUUGUCGGAGGCACAAGUUCCUGUCAAAGAGGCACGUCAUCCUUAUAAAUAUUAAUGCAGACUUGGCAGCAGUGCUCGUGUUCAUCAGCUGGGGCACAGAAGAACAGUUCAUGCCAGGCACAAUGCUAAUGAGUAGCAUUCAAAAGGGUCUUAUGUCCAUUCACAGAAGAGCCCCAAGACUGCGUUUGCCGCCUGUGAAGGCUCAGGUUCCCCUUUGACUGAGAGGAUGGGCCCUGCUUUCUGCCAUUUCAGAGCUUUGCUCUUGGAGGCUUUCUGGCACAGCUUUGCUAGACUUCUCAGGAUCUGGGAAGGAAUCAACUCGUCAGUCCCACGCCUCUGUGUUGUGUGCCUGGGAUCAAACCAUUCACCUGCAAGAUGCAAGCUCAAGCAGUUGGCCAACAGCAAACCCACAGUUGCCUGGUCUUGAGUGGAGCCCACUUCCUGUCUCUAACACCCGUAAUUAGAGACAAGCCCAGAAGGAGAAACAAGACUGAUUCCUUGAAGAGCUCAUCUGGAGGAUCAGGAAGGACAGAGUGGAUGGCUUCAGUACAAGCUCUGAGCUUUGCACCCUCUGGAGCUGGGUCAGACGGACGCAUGGAGGUUGUAGUCAUGCUCUGCUGCCUUUACUCAAUCAGCUGCUACUCAGGAGAUGACAAGAGGAAAAGCAAAGCAGAGGUAACCUGCCCUUUCCAGAGAUACGCAGCAGAUCGUAAGAUUGGACUACAUCCCCAGAUCAUGGGCCACUCGUGAGCCGUGUGUUUCUAUCAGCCACAUCCUGCAUCUUGUGGGAACUCUCUGGAGAUCACACCAAGCAGGAGACUGUCCUUUUUUAUAGGGAUGAGGAUGUCUUAUUUCUCUGGAGGAACCAAAGGGUGUAGGAAGUCCUGCUAGCUCUUGGGGCACAGUUGCUCGGUGGAAGGAAGACCAGAGCCCUGACGGGAUGAAAAGCAGCCAGGAGCCAUGAGAAGGAGCUGUGCCCUGGCUUCGCUCUGUCAAAAAGCAGAAGAGGCCAUGACACGUGACCUCCCCAAGGAGUCUUCCAGAAGAAUACCUGUGAUCAGCUGGAUGUUGUGUUGUGUUUCAAAGAUGAUGUUUCCUCCUGUCUCCCUGUUCCUGGUGGAUCCCACUGAGCUGGGGGAAAGGGGCUCAGCCCUUCCCCAAACCAGUGCCUGACUUUGAAGGUGGGGACAGGCAGAUCUCUGGAGUGCCCCCCUCCUCAGGAGCCAGGGAUCCCAUCAGGAGGAGGAGGAGGACGAAGAGGAGAGGCACAGAAACGCUCUGGAGAGUCUCAGGGAAGGUCCUUGCAGGUAUUUGCUGGAGUGGCUCGACAUAGAUUUAAGUGUCAAGCAACACGUCAAUGGCUCCCGUGCUAGCUCAGCCCCACAGCAGUUGAUACUGCAUCCAGCUGAACAGCCGCACUAAGCCCAUGCCAUUCACUGCAGCUGUUUUCUGCUCUACGAGCUAAUUAAUUAGUUUCUGCAAAGUCCUUUGAAGGGGUAAAGCGCAGCAUUAUCCAGAGGGUGUGGGCUUCAAAGCUUAAUGGGCGCUACUUGGAUAUGAACAGAGGUAGUAAACUUGGUUCAUAAUUUCUUUAAAACAUAAAAGAGCAGGGAAAGCAUCUGAAAAAAAACCCCCAUCAGUCAUUUUGGUAGUGCUGAGCCUGAGGAAGAGUCACUAAAAGCAGCUAGCUCCCCAGUGGAUGAGCAACUGACUUCCAGUUCCCCUUGCCUGGCUUUCUACCUCAACUUACUGGCAUAACCAGGAAAAACCUUUCUCCUUCAGUAAUUUUCUAUUUUAGAAGUGAUUCGGUAAAAGCGGGAGAAUAAAAGUGCUGAGAAAUAACAGAAGAAAAGCAGUCCUUUCAGAAAGAUCGGUGGGUAAAUUCAGGUCAGUAGAGAAAGUUCCUGCGGUACCUCUGCGGUAGCUCAGCCUCACUUCUCCCAAAUCCUCAUCAAAUUUUUACGUGGCAGCUAGCCCUUGCGUGGACAUGUGGAGCAAGUCCGGCUCACGGGGAUAAUGGUCAUUCAGGCAUGUUGGGUGAGCAGCGGAGCAAAACAUCGCCUACCGAGAGCACCCGCGUGGGCUGCUCGCCUGGGGGGCAAUUGCGUGGGCUCCUGGACCUCGGCUGUCUUCUGCCAUUGCAUACAGUGCAAGUGUUAAAAGGAUGAUAACUAAAGGCUCCUGCCAAUAUAUGGAAUAUCCUUUUAAAUUGUUUCACCAGUGUUCACAGCUUCAUGUCUUUCCUGCAUGAGUUGGGAUUUGAAGAUGUAUUUGCUUCCAGUUCUAUUGAAUUAAUUGAUGUAUUUGACUGUUCUUUUGCCUUUUUUUUUUUAAACUCAGGAAAUACAUUCUUCUAUUGUGCUGUUUUUCGGGGCGACUUCUGUUAUUUCCUUUCAUGUUUACCACGCUGAUGGAAAUCUGGUUUUGGCUUUAGUAGUAGAUUUUCACUAGAAUGAAUGCUGCGCUUUAUAGAUAACCUUCAAUUGUUCCACAGUAAUAAAAGAUUAUUAAAAGGACAUGGUUCUGCAGAAUGACGUACUGCUCUUCUUGCUGUCCAGGAAAGGAAUUUGCAACAGAUUUUUUUCCUAUGACUCUUCUGGCAAUUGUUUUUCUUUUCUGACAAUCUUUACGUGCUACCCUUAGUUCUUGUGAUUUGCAAUAAUAUUUUUAAAAUGUGUUUUAAUUCUGAAAUGGCACCUUGAAUUGAGGAUAAAUCAUAGCA